GAUGAACGCUGGCGGCGUGCCUAAUACAUGCAAGUCGAGCGAAUAGACGAGGAGCUUGCUCCUUUGACGUUAGCGGCGGACGGGUGAGUAACACGUGGGUAACCUACCUAUAAGACUGGGAUAACUUCGGGAAACCGGAGCUAAUACCGGAUAAUAUUUCGAACCGCAUGGUUCGAUAGUGAAAGAUGGCUUUGCUAUCACUUAUAGAUGGACCUGCGCCGUAUUAGCUAGUUGGUAAGGUAACGGCUUACCAAGGCAACGAUACGUAGCCGACCUGAGAGGGUGAUCGGCCACACUGGAACUGAGACACGGUCCAGACUCCUACGGGAGGCAGCAGUAGGGAAUCUUCCGCAAUGGGCGAAAGCCUGACGGAGCAACGCCGCGUGAGUGAUGAAGGUCUUCGGAUCGUAAAACUCUGUUAUUAGGGAAGAACAAACGUGUAAGUAACUGUGCACGUCUUGACGGUACCUAAGCAGAAAGCCACGGCUAACUACGU
Molecule: ribosomal RNA, 496 nt
Filed under: uncultured bacterium
Lineage: Bacteria
Description: partial 16S ribosomal RNA
Rfam family: Bacterial small subunit ribosomal RNA
Source: RNAcentral